Molecule: ribosomal RNA, 914 nt
Filed under: uncultured bacterium
Lineage: Bacteria
Description: bacterial SSU rRNA
Rfam family: Bacterial small subunit ribosomal RNA
Source: RNAcentral
GAGUUUGAUCCUGGCUCAGGGUGAACGCUGGCGGUGUGCCUAAGACAUGCAAGUCGAACGGUGUGCGUAGGUAGCACUAAGAUCAUAAAUUUAUUGUGAUUUUGGUGCUAUCUACUUACGCAGUGGCAAACGGGUGAGUAUAAAAUAGGAACGUACUUCGAAGCGGGGCAUAGCCCCUCGAAAGAGGGGGUAAUUUCCCAUACGCCUACGGGUGAAAGACGCAAGUCACUACGAAAACGGCCUAUUUACUACCAGCUAGUUGGUAAGGUAACGGCUUACCAAGGCGAUGACGGUUACCGGCUCUUAGCGGAGAGUCCGGCACAAUGGGACUGAGACACGGCCCAUACACCUACGGGUGGCAGCAGUUAGGAAUUUUGCGCAAUGGACGAAAGUCUGACGCAGCGACACCGCGUGGAGGAUGAAGACCCUAGGGUUGUAAACUCCUUUUUAGCGGCCAUGAAGGCCACUAGAAUAAGUAGCUACUAACUACGUGCCAGCAGUCGCGGUAAUACGUAGGCUACGAGCGUUACUCGGAUUUAUUGGGCGUAAAGGGUCUGUAGACGGUUUUUUAAGUCUUGUUUCAAAGACCUCGACUUAAUCGAGGAAAGGGGCAAGAUACUAAAAGACUAGAGUGGUAUCGGGGUUACUGGAAUUUUUAGUGUAGGGGUUAAAUCCGUGGAUACUAAAAAGAACACCAAGCGCGAAGGCGGGUAACUAGGUACAUACUGACGUUCAGAGACGAAAGCUAGGGUAGCAAAUCAGAUUAGAGACCUGAGUAGUCCUAGCCGUAAACAUUGUCCGUUAGUUCUUCCUUAAUUUAUAGGGGGGGGGAUGUUAGCAAACGCGUUAAACGGAUCGCCUGGGGAGUAUAGCCGCAAGGCCGAAACUCAAACGAAUUGGCGGGGAGGCGCACA